GGAAAACAAAAUAAUCAGUUUUCACGCAAGAGUUACAAGAUUACAAGGAUCUGGUUCGAAUAAAUCAAAAUGCCAAAGACCAAAAAACUAAAACAACAAUAAUCAGUUUCACCCAAAGUAGAAAUCAACUUAAAGAUAAGGUAUAAAAGAAGUAAAUCAAUGGUUUUAGCUAUUUCAUGAGUUCCGAGUCCGAUUCUGACUCGAGCCACCACCACUUCUCUGACCUCGAUCCGAAGCCAUAGAAAUGAAAGAGCGACAAGUAGCAGAGAAGAGUGGAAGGCAGAAGCCCUCGGGGUGGGCAUGAGAGAUCUGGAAAGCCCAAGCCAUAGAAAGAGAUCUGGGGUUUAGGAUUUUGGAUGGUAGUUGUAUUGGGAGCG
This 377-nucleotide long non-coding RNA is filed under the name Olea europaea (common olive). RNAcentral describes it as "long non-coding RNA (OEUR_LNC007765)". Lineage: Eukaryota; Viridiplantae; Streptophyta; Magnoliopsida; Lamiales; Oleaceae. The record is from RNAcentral.